Molecule: non-coding RNA, 96 nt
Organism: Roridomyces roridus
Lineage: Eukaryota; Fungi; Basidiomycota; Agaricomycetes; Agaricales; Mycenaceae
Source: the annotation of a GenBank genome assembly
AGCAGCAUGGCGCAGAUGGAAGCGCGCGGGGCCCAUAUAGGACAGUCAAGUUCGCUCGUUACCCCGAGGUCACUGGAUCGAAACCAGUUGCUGCUA